UUUGAUUCAUAUUUUUCAGGGUCUACUCUGCCGAGUACUAAAUCUACUAGGAGUGUGACUGAUUGCCCAAAUAACAUUUCACAAGGGCUUACCCCCGUGGCCUCAUGAGAAGAUGAUCGAUAUGCCAACAUGAGGAUGGCAUCAACCCAUUUGGUGAAGUAAUCUCCCACGACUAGAAGAUAAGAAUUUUUCCUGUGAGUCAUUGGUAAAGGACCUAAUAUAUCCACUGCCCAUCUUUCCAUUGGAGCACCAACCAGGGCUUAUCCCAGUGGGUGGAGAGUUUCCCUGAGACCUUGUAGUAACAGCACAGUUUCCAGAACCACUGGGAGCUGAUGAUUGAUUUGACAAAGAUUCAUCUUGACAGAUUUCUUCAUGGGAUAAAUUUUCUUCUUCUACCGGGACUCUUGGAUUGAAAACAAUCUCUCCCGAAUCUUCUAAAUGACUAUUAUCCCUUGACAUUUUUGCUUUUGGGAGUACUAAUUUAUUCUAUGAUACAAAGAAUUUACUUGUUCAAUUAUUUGUCUUAUGUCCAAUCAGAUAAUGGGAAUGAAAAUUUAUGAAUCCCACUUCUGACACCA
Saccostrea cuccullata (small rock oyster) is the source of this 578-nucleotide long non-coding RNA. RefSeq lists it as uncharacterized. The transcript is spliced from 4 exons. The record is from RefSeq and is a predicted model, not a curated record. Lineage: Eukaryota; Metazoa; Mollusca; Bivalvia; Ostreida; Ostreidae.